CGGACCAGGCUUCAUUCCCCC
Molecule: non-coding RNA, 21 nt
Filed under: Arabidopsis thaliana (thale cress)
Lineage: Eukaryota; Viridiplantae; Streptophyta; Magnoliopsida; Brassicales; Brassicaceae
Also listed under: 1 other name
Source: RNAcentral